UAUAUACUCCCUCCAUCCAGAAAUACGUGUCGCAGGAAUGGAUGUAUUUAGACAUAUUUUAGUUCUAGAUACAUCCAUCCAUUUCUCCAACAAGUAUUUUUGGAUAGAGGGAGUAAUUG
This is a non-coding RNA of Triticum aestivum (bread wheat), 119 nucleotides long. The record is from Rfam. Lineage: Eukaryota; Viridiplantae; Streptophyta; Magnoliopsida; Poales; Poaceae.